UACAGAGGGUGCAAGCGUUAAUCGGAAUUACUGGGCGUAAAGCGCGCGUAGGUGGUUUGUUAAGUUGGAUGUGAAAUCCCCGGGCUCAACCUGGGAACUGCAUCCAAAACUGGCAAGCUAGAGUAUGGUAGAGGGUGGUGGAAUUUCCUGUGUAGCGGUGAAAUGCGUAGAUAUAGGAAGGAACACCAGUGGCGAAGGCGACCACCUGGACUGAUACUGACACUGAGGUGCGAAAGCGUGGGGAGCAAACAGGA
RNAcentral lists this ribosomal RNA (254 nucleotides) under uncultured bacterium. RNAcentral describes it as "partial 16S ribosomal RNA". It matches the Rfam family "Bacterial small subunit ribosomal RNA", at positions 524 to 777 of the family's 1533-position model. The record is from RNAcentral.